This 201-nucleotide ribosomal RNA is filed under the name uncultured bacterium. RNAcentral's name for it is "partial 16S ribosomal RNA". It matches the Rfam family "Bacterial small subunit ribosomal RNA", at positions 355 to 547 of the family's 1533-position model. The record is from RNAcentral.
UAGGGAAUCUUCGGCAAUGGGGGCAACCCUGACCGAGCAACGCCGCGUGAGUGAAGAAGGUUUUCGGAUCGUAAAGCUCUGUUGUAAGUCAAGAACGGGUGUGAGAGUGGAAAGUUCACACUGUGACGGUAGCUUACCAGAAAGGGACGGCUAACUACGUGCCAGCAGCCGCGGUAAUACGUAGGUCCCGAGCGUUGUCCG